RNAcentral lists this signal recognition particle RNA (99 nucleotides) under Ruminococcus sp. Its description in RNAcentral is "signal recognition particle sRNA small type". It matches the Rfam family "Bacterial small signal recognition particle RNA". From Rfam's summary of the family: The signal recognition particle (SRP) is a universally conserved ribonucleoprotein involved in the co-translational targeting of proteins to membranes. Archaeal SRP consists of a 7S RNA and homologues of the eukaryotic SRP19 and SRP54 proteins. In most bacteria, the SRP consists of a 4.5S RNA and the Ffh protein (a homologue of the eukaryotic SRP54 protein). Lineage: Bacteria; Bacillati; Bacillota; Clostridia; Eubacteriales; Oscillospiraceae. The record is from RNAcentral.
GUGCGGGUCCUGUGCAACAGGAUACCGUGAACCAUGUCAGGUGGGAAACCAAGCAGCAUUAAGCGGACUUUCUUGUGUGCCGCAGCAAACCUGCACAUC